UGAACCUUGAUGCAAUCAGAC
RNAcentral lists this unclassified non-coding RNA (21 nucleotides) under Mus musculus (house mouse). RNAcentral describes it as "oocyte_clustered_small_RNA4099". Lineage: Eukaryota; Metazoa; Chordata; Mammalia; Rodentia; Muridae. The record is from RNAcentral.